RNAcentral lists this ribosomal RNA (693 nucleotides) under Triticum aestivum (bread wheat). RNAcentral describes it as "partial small subunit ribosomal RNA". Lineage: Eukaryota; Viridiplantae; Streptophyta; Magnoliopsida; Poales; Poaceae. The record is from RNAcentral.
AUGCCGAGGGGCGGCGGCAAUGGCGACGCCGUUAAGGACGGCGGCGAGAAGAUCCUGGGCUACUUCGUCAAGUACGCGGGAGAGACCUUGAAGGCCGAGCUCAUCAACAAGUCGGGGGAGAAGCUCGAGGGUGACGCCGUUAAGGACGCCGACGACGAGAUCCUGGGCUACGUCGUCAACUACGCCGGAGAGUCUCUCAAGGCCGAUCUCGUCGACAAGGCGGGGGAGAAGCUCGACGGAGACGCCGUUAAGGACGCCGGCGACGAGAUCCAGGGUUACGUGGUGAAGUUCGCCGGAGAGGCACUCAAGGCCGAGCUCGUCAACAGGUCGGAGGAGAAGCUCCUGGCCGACAACGGAGAGACCCGCAAGGCCAACGUCAGCGAGAAAUCGACCGAUCCCAUCAAGGGGAAGGCCGACUCCAGCGGCACCAUCAAGGCCGACGCCGGCGGAAUUCUCAAGGCCGAGCCCGCCAAGAUCUUGCCCAAGGCCAACUCCAUCGAAGGUUGCGCUGAUGCGGAGACCGUCAAGAACAUCGACGGCGAGGAGGGGGAUCUGCCCAAGGAGGAGGGUGGGGAUGAGUCUCAGAAGGAGGAGGGUGGGGAUGAGUCUCAGAAGGAGGAGGGUGAUGAGCCUGAGGAGAAGGAGGAGGGUGAUGAGCCUGAGGAGGAGGAGGGUGAUGAGUCUGAGGAGUAG